RNAcentral lists this non-coding RNA (21 nucleotides) under Caenorhabditis elegans. Lineage: Eukaryota; Metazoa; Nematoda; Chromadorea; Rhabditida; Rhabditidae. The record is from RNAcentral.
UGCACAUGAAAAUGGAGGCAA